Molecule: long non-coding RNA, 1047 nt
Filed under: Oncorhynchus mykiss (rainbow trout)
Lineage: Eukaryota; Metazoa; Chordata; Actinopteri; Salmoniformes; Salmonidae
Description: lncRNA (ENSOMYG00000076807.1)
Source: RNAcentral
UAUAGGUCAGGUCCUAUUGAUGUGAUAUGCUAUAGGUCAGGUCCUAUUGAUGUGAUAUGCCAUAGGUCAGGUCCUAUUGAUGUGAUAUGCCAUAGGUCAGGUCCUAUUGAUGUGAUAUGCUAUAGGUCAGGUCCUAUUGAUGUGAUAUGCUAUAGGUCAGAUCCCAUUGACGUGAUAUGCUAUAGGUCAGGUCCUAUUGAUGUGAUAUGCUAUAGGUCAGGUCCUAUUUAUGUGAUAUGCUAUAGGUCAGGUCCUAUUGAUGUGAUUAGGAUAUGCUAUAGGUCAGGUCCUAUUGAUGUGAUUAGGAUAUGCUAUAGGUCAGAUCCUAUUGAUGUGAUAUGCUAUAGGUCAGGUCCUAUUUAUGUGAUAUGCUAUAGGUCAGGUCCUAUUUAUGUGAUAUGCUAUAGGUCAGGUCCUAUUGAUGUGAUUAGGAUAUGCUAUAGGUCAGGUCCUAUUUAUGUGAUAUGCUAUAGGUCAGGUCCUAUUUAUGUGAUAUGCUAUAGGUCAGGUCCUAUUUAUGUGAUAUGCUAUAGGUCAGGUCCUAUUUAUGUGAUAUGCUAUAGGUCAGGUCCUAUUGAUGUGAUUAGGAUAUGCUAUAGGUCAGGUCCUAUUUAUGUGAUAUGCUAUAGGUCAGGUCCUAUUGAUGUGAUUAGGAUAUGCUAUAGGUCAGGUCCUACUGAUGUGAUUAUGAUAUGCCAUAGGUCAGGUCCUAUUGAUGUGAUAUGCUAUAGGUCAGGUCCUAUUGAUGUGAUAUGCUAUAGGUCAGGUCCUAUUGAUGUGAUAUGCUAUAGGUCAGGUCCUAUUGAUGUGAUAUGCUAUAGGUCAGGUCCUAUUGAUGUGAUAUGCUAUAGGUCAGGUCCUAUUGAUGUGAUAUGCUAUAGGUCAGGUCCUAUUGAUGUGAUAUGCUAUAGGUCAGGUCUUAUUGAUGUGAUAUGCUAUAGGUCAGGUCCUAUUGAUGUGAUAUGCUAUAGGUCAGGUCCUAUUGAUGUGAUAUGCUAUAGGUCAGGUCCUUUUGAUCACGUACGAUGCUGUACAUGUGUCACGUAA